GAUGAACGCUGGCGGCGUGCCUAAUACAUGCAAGUCGAGCGAACGGACGAGAAGCUUGCUUCUCUGCUGUUAGCGGCGGACGGGUGAGUAACACGUGGAUAACCUACCUAUAAGACUGGGAUAACUUCGGGAAACCGGAGCUAAUACCGGAUAAUAUUUUGAACCGCAUGGUUCAAAAGUGAAGGACGGUCUUGCUGUCACUUAUAGAUGGAUCCGCGCUGCAUUAGCUAGUUGGUAAGGUAACGGCUUACCAAGGCAACGAUGCAUAGCCGACCUGAGAGGGUGAUCGGCCACACUGGAACUGAGACACGGUCCAGACUCCUACGGGAGGCAGCAGUAGGGAAUCUUCCGCAAUGGGCGAAAGCCUGACGGAGCAACGCCGCGUGAGUGAUGAAGGUCUUCGGAUCGUAAAACUCUGUUAUUAGGGAAGAACAUAUGUGUAAGUAACUGUGCACAUCUUGACGGUACCUAAUCAGAAAGCCACGGCUAACUACGUGCCAGCAGCCGCGGUAAUACGUAGGUGGCAAGCGUUAUCCGGAAUUAUUGGGCGUAAAGCGCGCGUAGGCGGUUUUUUAAGUCUGAUGUGAAAGCCCACGGCUCAACCGUGGAGGGUCAUUGGAAACUGGAAAACUUGAGUGCAGAAGAGGAAAGUGGAAUUCCAUGUGUAGCGGUGAAAUGCGCAGAGAUAUGGAGGAACACCAGUGGCGAAGGCGACUUUCUGGUCUGUAACUGACGCUGAUGUGCGAAAGCGUGGGGAUCAAACAGGAUUAGAUACCCUGGUAGUCCACGCCGUAAACGAUGAGUGCUAAGUGUUAGGGGGUUUCCGCCCCUUAGUGCUGCAGCUAACGCAUUAAGCACUCCGCCUGGGGAGUACGACCGCAAGGUUGAAACUCAAAGGAAUUGACGGGGACCCGCACAAGCGGUGGAGCAUGUGGUUUAAUUCGAAGCAACGCGAAGAACCUUACCAAAUCUUGACAUCCUUUGACAACUCUAGAGAUAGAGCCUUCCCCUUCGGGGGACAAAGUGACAGGUGGUGCAUGGUUGUCGUCAGCUCGUGUCGUGAGAUGUUGGGUUAAGUCCCGCAACGAGCGCAACCCUUAAGCUUAGUUGCCAUCAUUAAGUUGGGCACUCUAAGUUGACUGCCGGUGACAAACCGGAGGAAGGUGGGGAUGACGUCAAAUCAUCAUGCCCCUUAUGAUUUGGGCUACACACGUGCUACAAUGGACAAUACAAAGGGCAGCGAAACCGCGAGGUCAAGCAAAUCCCAUAAAGUUGUUCUCAGUUCGGAUUGUAGUCUGCAACUCGACUACAUGAAGCUGGAAUCGCUAGUAAUCGUAGAUCAGCAUGCUACGGUGAAUACGUUCCCGGGUCU
RNAcentral lists this ribosomal RNA (1372 nucleotides) under uncultured bacterium. Its description in RNAcentral is "bacterial SSU rRNA". It matches the Rfam family "Bacterial small subunit ribosomal RNA", at positions 28 to 1381 of the family's 1533-position model. The record is from RNAcentral.